AUGGGACUGGAGGACGAGUGAAAGAUGCUGACCGAGUGUAGAGAUACUAAGGAGGAGGAAGAAGAAGAGGAGGAAUUAGUGUUUCUACAUCAGGAUCCCCUAACAACAGUGAGAGAGCAAUGCGAGCAGUUGGAGAAAUGUGUAAAGGCCCAGGAGCGGCUGGACCUCUGUGAUGAGCAUGUAUGCUCUCAAUCACAUACAGAAGAGGAUUGCACGGGGGAGCUCUUUGACUUUUUGCAUGCAAGGGACCAUUGUGUGGCCCACAAACUCUUUAACAACUUGAAAUAAAUAUGUGGACUUACCCCAGCCUUCAUCACCUGGGCAUCAGGAUAUUUCCUUAUGGUUUUGGAUAUGCCAUUUGUUUCUUAUUUGUGUAACUGUAAGUUCACAUGAACCUCAUGGAUUUUGGCUUAGUCUGGUAGCUUCUAUGUAACUCGUCUUAAUAAAGUUAUUUCAUCUUAAUAAAGUUCUGUG
RNA transcript from Rhinopithecus roxellana (golden snub-nosed monkey), 474 nucleotides. It is a transcript of the gene named cytochrome b-c1 complex subunit 6, mitochondrial pseudogene, with no coding region annotated. The transcript has a single exon. Lineage: Eukaryota; Metazoa; Chordata; Mammalia; Primates; Cercopithecidae. The record is from RefSeq and is a predicted model, not a curated record.